CGCCGUCAAACGAAUUGCGGAAACGGAACGGGAGGUUCGCGCGUAAUGCCCAUUUGAAAGUUUUGUGAAGGGAUGUUGAAGUGGUUGGUCAGUUUCCAAAUAACUGGAUUAAGAUUUUAGCUCUUUGUGUUAAGUCAAAGGAUCUCGAAAUGACACCAACCGAACCACGGAGCAAGGUGCACGUCCUUUAAAUUAAAUUCAAAUUAAUUUAAUCCAAAUCUGCAUUCAAGAACUGGGGUGUAUAUCCAUUUUAAUGCAAACUCCGGACUUAACACACCGGUGUUAAGCAAACAAUACUGGUUCAUUCCCGAAGCAGUAUAAGGGACUCCGUAUCGCUGUCCUGAGUCAAUAUUGAAUGGGUCAGAUUUACCCGAAUGUUAUACAUUAUCUAAGUUUGUGGUAGAACCAUACAAGUUUGAAUAGGUCAAGAUGUUGAAGUGUGUGUGUAUGUUGUAGACAUGUUUAGACAACUUGCUACGUUGGUAAAAUAGUGAACUGAUACAAUGGUACUUCUUGUGUUAAUCAGUGUCUGGGUUGCUGCAGUUUCAGGAGGUUUACCUCCCGUUAUUAGAAUAGGCGCAAUUUUUACUGAGGAUCAGAAAAAUAGCAGCGUGGAACUAGCAUUUAAAUAUGCGGUAUAUAAAAUAAACAAGGAGAGAGAAAUGCUUCCAAAUACCACGUUGGUUUAUGACAUCCAGUACGUGCCCAGAGAUGACAGCUUUAGAACUUCGAAAAAAGCAUGUAGACAAAUGGAGUUUGGGGUGCAGGCCAUCUUUGGUCCAUCAGAUCCAAUAUUAGGAGCUCACAUUCAAAGUAUUUGUGAAGCAUUAGAUGUUCCCCAUAUAGAAGCAAGGGUAGAUUUUGAGCCAGUAUCAAAACAGCUGAGCAUUAAUCUGCAUCCUAGCCAGGAAAAUAUGAAUAAAGCAUUUAAGGAUCUUAUGGCCUUUCUUAAUUGGACCAAAGUAGCUAUUAUCUAUGAAGAGGAUUAUGGCCUUUUUAAACUUCAAGAACUGGUAAAGGCACCAGGAAUAGUAAAGACGGAGAUGUAUAUAAGACAAGCAAGUCCCUCCAGUUACAGGCAGGUGUUACGUGAGGUUAGGCAAAAGGAAAUUUUCAAGCUAAUCGUGGAUACGAAUCCGAAAAAUAUUCAAAAAUUUUUUAGAGCGAUUUUGCAGCUACAAAUGAAUGACUACCGAUAUCACUACAUGUUCACAACAUUUGAUUUAGAGACAUUUGAUCUUGAAGACUUUAAGUACAAUUCUGUUAACAUUACUGCAUUCCGAUUGGUGGAUGUAGAUCACCCUAAAGUGAAAGAGAUAUUAGCUGCUAUGCAAAAGUUUCAGCCUAUAGGACAUGCUAUUUUAAAUGGAACAGGAAUUAUACAGGCCGAACCAGCGUUAAUGUACGACAGUGUUUACGUGUUUGCAAAAGGUUUAGCUACCCUAGACUCAGGGCACUCUAUAAGGCCAACAAAUUUGUCUUGCGAUAUUGAGAAACCUUGGGAUGAUGGGCUUUCCCUUUAUAAUUAUUUAGAUUCUGUGUCAAAACUGCAUGGAUUGACCGGCAACUUGGAAUUCCAAGAGGGUAAAAGAUCAAAUUUUAAAGUAGAUCUUUUAAAACUAAAGAAAGAGGAUAUUAAGAAAGUUGGAACCUGGAGCAUGGCCGAUGGAAUAAAUAUUACAGAUCCAAAUGCUUUUUAUGAUCAAAAUGCUCCUAAUAUUACAUUAAUAGUUAUGACACGAGAGGAAAAACCAUACGUUAUGUUAAAAGAAGAUCAGAACUUAACUGGUAAUGCACGUUAUGAAGGUUUUUGUAUAGACCUAUUAAAAUGGAUCGCAGGGCAAGUUGGUUUUCAAUAUAGCAUUCGAUUAGUGCCUGAUAAUAUGUAUGGUGUUUAUAAUCCAGAUACUAAGCAGUGGAAUGGAAUUGUUAGGGAACUAAUGGAAAAGAGAGCUGACCUAGCGGUUGCAUCGAUGACAAUAAACUACGCUAGGGAAAGUGUCAUUGAUUUUACUAAGCCAUUUAUGAAUCUAGGAAUUGGAAUAUUAUUUAAGGUUCCCACAAGCCAACCUACCCGAUUAUUCAGUUUCAUGAACCCCCUGGCAGUAGAAAUCUGGAUUUACGUAUUAGCCGCGUAUCUGUUAGUUUCUUUUACCCUGUUCGUAAUGGCACGAUUUUCACCGUACGAAUGGAAUAACCCGCACCCAUGUCACCAGGACUCCGAUAUAGUGGAAAACCAGUUUUCGGUGUCGAACAGUUUUUGGUUUAUCACUGGCACGUUUUUGAGACAGGGCUCUGGAUUAAAUCCAAAGGUUUACAAAAGAGUCCCAUCAAAUCUCUUUUCAUUUCUAACUCCCUUGGCAAUCGAAAUAUGGAUUUUCAUGGUAGCAGCGUAUAUUCUUGUAUCCUUAACUAUAUGGAUAGUAGCCCGUUUUUCACCAAUGGAAUGGAAAGAAAUGGAAUUAUGCGAUGACUGUCUACUAAAAAAAUAUAAAGAUUUACAUCAAAAAGAACAUUGUGAACAUACACUUAUGCUAACUGCUAGCGGUAGUGAUUUAUCUUCCGGAAUAGGUAGUGACAGAGAUGAAGAUGAAACUGAAACAGAGGAUGAUUUGGAUUUAAAGUAUCAAGAAACCAGGACGUUCCUUCCCGAUGACCACUACCAUGAGGAAAUAUCUACACUUGACGUAUUGGAAAAUGGAUUUACUAUAGGAAAUAGUUUUUGGUUUGCUAUUGGAAGUCUAAUGCAGCAAGGUUCUGAUUUAAAUCCCAAGGCUACUUCAACGAGAAUUCCAAUUUGGCAGCAUUUUUAACAGUAGAAAGGAUGAUAACUCCUAUCGAAAAUGCUCAAGAUUUGGCUGAUCAGACUGAAAUAUCUUAUGGAACAUUGGAAGGUGGAAGCACCAUGACGUUUUUCAGAGAUUCAAAAAUAGGCAUUUAUCAAAAAAUGUGGCGUUUCAUGGAAAAUCGGAGGCCACCGGUUUUCGUAAAAUCAUACGAGGAUGGAAUAGCCAGAGUUUUACAGGGAAAUUAUGCCUUCCUAAUGGAAUCCACAAUGUUAGACUAUGC
This 3069-nucleotide unclassified non-coding RNA is filed under the name Anthonomus grandis grandis. RNAcentral describes it as "glutamate receptor ionotropic, kainate 2". Lineage: Eukaryota; Metazoa; Arthropoda; Insecta; Coleoptera; Curculionidae. The record is from RNAcentral.